RNAcentral lists this ribosomal RNA (305 nucleotides) under uncultured bacterium. RNAcentral's name for it is "bacterial SSU rRNA". It matches the Rfam family "Bacterial small subunit ribosomal RNA", at positions 338 to 641 of the family's 1533-position model. The record is from RNAcentral.
CCUACGGGAGGCAGCAGUGAGGAAUAUUGGUCAAUGGCCGGGAGGCUGAACCAGCCAAGUCGCGUGAGGGAAGACGGCCCUACGGGUUGUAAACCUCUUUUGUCAGGGAGCAAGGGGCGGGUCGAGACCAGCUGUGAGAGUACCUGAAGAAAAAGCAUCGGCUAACUCCGUGCCAGCAGCCGCGGUAAUACGGAGGAUGCGAGCGUUAUCCGGAUUUAUUGGGUUUAAAGGGUGCGUAGGCGGUCUGUUAAGUCAGCGGUAAAAUUGCGGGGCUCAACCCCGUCGAGCCGUUGAAACUGGCAGAC